Pelobates cultripes (western spadefoot toad) is the source of this 260-nucleotide non-coding RNA. NCBI's taxonomy places the organism in Eukaryota, Metazoa, Chordata, Amphibia, Anura, Pelobatidae. The record is from the annotation of a GenBank genome assembly.
CAUACACACACAUUGCCCACACUCACACAUACACUGCAAUUCUCACACACACACACUGCAACUGUUACACACACAUACUAUCCCACACAUACACUGCAUCCCUGACAUACACAGCCGCCCUCACACACACACUGCUCACACACUGUCCCCCUCACACGCACACACACACACACACACUGCAUCCCUUACACAUUGCACCACUCACACACCACUGAUCCUAUGCCCUACUACAGCCCCAUUUCCUCAGGUAAAUUGUCAAA